This 232-nucleotide ribosomal RNA is filed under the name uncultured bacterium. RNAcentral's name for it is "partial 16S ribosomal RNA". It matches the Rfam family "Bacterial small subunit ribosomal RNA", at positions 104 to 334 of the family's 1533-position model. The record is from RNAcentral.
CGGGGUGAGUAACGCGUGGGUAACCUGCCUCAUACAGGGGGAUAACAGUUAGAAAUGACUGCUAAUACCGCAUAAGCGCACAGUACCGCAUGGUACAGUGUGAAAAACUCCGGUGGUGUGAGAUGGAUCCGCGUCUGAUUAGCCAGUUGGCGGGGUAACGGCCCACCAAAGCGACGAUCAGUAGCCGACCUGAGAGGGUGACCGGCCACAUUGGGACUGAGACACGGCCCAA